Molecule: transfer RNA, 87 nt
Filed under: Mycobacterium sp. OAS707
Lineage: Bacteria; Bacillati; Actinomycetota; Actinomycetes; Mycobacteriales; Mycobacteriaceae
Also listed under: 1 other name
Description: tRNA-Leu
Rfam family: tRNA
About the family: Transfer RNA (tRNA) molecules are approximately 80 nucleotides in length. Their secondary structure includes four short double-helical elements and three loops (D, anti-codon, and T loops).
Source: RNAcentral
GCGUCCGUGACGGAAUUUGGGAGACGUGCCGGAUUCAGACUCCGGUGCCCGGUUAAGGGCGUGCAGGUUCGACUCCUGCCGGACGUA